CCUACGGGAGGCAGCAGUGAGGAAUAUUGGUCAAUGGGCGCGAGCCUGAACCAGCCAAGUAGCGUGAAGGAUGACUGCCCUACGGGUGGUAAACUUCUUUUAUAAAGGAAUAAAGUGAGGCACGUGUGCCUUUUUGUAUGUAUGGUAUGAAUAAGGAUCGGCUAACUCCGGGCCAGCAGCCGCGGUAAUACGGAGGAUCCGAGCGUUAUCCGGAUUGAUUGGGUUUAAAGGGAGCGUAGAGGGGUUGUUAAGUCAGUUGUGAAAGUUUGCGGCUCAACCGUAAAAUUGCAAUUGUUACUGGCAGCCUUGCGUACAGUUGCGGUCGGCGGCCUUCGUGGUGUAGCGGU
RNAcentral lists this ribosomal RNA (347 nucleotides) under uncultured bacterium. Its description in RNAcentral is "partial 16S ribosomal RNA". It matches the Rfam family "Bacterial small subunit ribosomal RNA", at positions 338 to 682 of the family's 1533-position model. The record is from RNAcentral.